GGAUAAUCUUCUUAAGACUCGAUAUUCCAUUAUUGACAUCCUGCCCAUAGAAAGAACAGUAAUCAGACUGAGCUUAGUGACUGACAACAGCUAAUUUUUAGCAUUAGAACAAAGCUAGUUUUUCUUCUGGUACACCUCAAAAGGACUAACCAUUUCCCAUACAAGAGCUACACUACAUCCGUAGGCAGUGACCAUACAGCCCAGGUGCUAAAGUUGGAGCUACAUCGUAAGAUCCAGAAUAGUGUAAGUGUAUCUCUCUUUUUUUAUCUUCCAAAUACCAGAGACUUACUACAGUAUCAGUCCCUGUAUUCUCUGCUGGUUUUGUCAUUCCAUAAACCACAAAGGACAUUCAAGGCUCUACACCUACACCCCAUUCCAUUCCCCCCUGUUCUACCACAUUUCUAUUCACUGGAGAAGAGAGACACUGGAUUCGUGGAUUCGGUGGUGUAGCUGCCUGUAAGAACUGUAUCAGUAUUAUCUAGGGGCUCAAUAUUUUUCAUUUUGUUUUCCCUAAUGUUGUGAUAGCCUUUAUACUUAUUUCUUCGGAUGGACCCCCUUUUCGUACACACAGCGGUUCAAAAAGAGAAUAGUCAAGAAUACAGAACAGCAUCACCAGAGAGGAAUCCGCAAGAUGAAUUUACCUUGCUCUGAGGAAGAAUAUUGAAUUUGUAAUAACACUUAUCCCAGCCGCCAGGGCAAAAUGCCUCAUCGCCAUGGCAAUGUGGCACCUCGGAUUUGUUAAGCCUGUUCAGCGUCUGCAGAAUCAGCCUCUCUGCAGCGGUGGCUGAGGCAGAAUGAAGCAGGGCGGCGAGGGAGCUGUAAUCUCGAAGCUCUUCUUGCUCUGAUCCCUCGCGCCAAGCUGUAAGGACGGUUGCGGGUUAUAACCUCACUCUAGCCCCAGCAUCCCUAAACAGCACACGAGGGAGCAAAGCAAGAGCUUUUCAGCAGCUACCCUGGACCCCAAAGAAAGGGAGGCUGGGUGGGCUGAAAGGGGCACUCCAGGCAACAAAACAACUUAAUCUUAAUGAAGUUGUUAUGGUUACAGGAGGCCCCCGGGUGCACUCUUACCUUCUCGAGCGGUUGGCCAAGAGUGGUCAGCUGAUGCUCUCAGACAAUCAGGGACACCGCAUUCACAAAACUGGUUUGGAAAGAAACUUACCUUUUCCAGCCAAUCUGCUGUGCCCUUGCAGGGCGGCACUCCACCCUUCCUGAAACGGAAAAUUCUGAAGCUGGAUACCGCCUGGGGGCGAAUUAGUUGAGAUCAGCGCUGGAGGCAACUAUGGGAUUAAACCGCUUGAGAUCAGUUUAACCCCUGAAGGUAAGCGUGCACCCAAGACCCCCCUGGCACCUUAACAACUUUCUUUAAAUGAAGUUGUUAUGGUGCCUUAUGCUGACUAAACUGCUCCUUUAAAUAAAAAAAACAAACAAUUUGAGACUGUGUGUGAGAGAAUAUAUGUGUGUCAAAUUACUGAGUGUGUUUAGGUGACCGGCCCCCCUGCAGUCCCAUGGGAAAGUUAUUUUUACUCACCUUUUCCCCCACGCCAUGCCGGUCCCACUGUGGCUGGUCGUACCUCCAUGAUGGAGAUAAUCAAUCUUGAUGAUCUAAUGCCAAAUCAAUGUUUUCCCAUAGGAAAGCAUUGGGAGAUUAUUGCACGUGAGGCAAACCACCACACUGCGCCAAUCAGCAUCUCCUCAUCAUAGAGCAUUGAGUCAAUGCAUCUCUAUGGGGAACAUUCAGCACCUUCAUGCAGAGCAUAGUCUAAGAAGCACCUCUGACUGUCACUAGAGGUGCUUCUAGCAAUGUAAACACUGCCUUUUCUCUGGAAAACCUGCAGGGACAGGCAAUAGCCACUAGAGAACUACAUUAAAGCUGUAGUGGAUCUGGUGACUAUAGUAUCCCUUUAAGAAUUGUAUUUUUAUUGUUGAAAAUAAAGCUUUGUUAGAUUAAAAAAAAACAAAAAACAAAAAAAAAACCUGGCUUUUAAAUUCAAAGCUAAUUUGUCAGCCUCGACUUAUGCCAUUAGUAUGCACAUGCAUCCUGUUUAUUGUUAUAUUUACUUCAAUCUUUUCUCUUAAAGGGACUCAUUAAAAGUUGUAUUCCUAACACUAUAGUGCCCUCUAGUCGCCCCCUCCCUCAUUCUGCCACACCCAGCAAAUGAAGGGUUAAAAUACUUUAUUUACUCAACCGAUUCCAGCGCAGAUGUUCAUCGACGCUGAAUAGAUGGUCUGCCUCCUCCGACCGGGGGACUUAAUGCACAUUAAUGCUUUCCUAUUGGGAUUUUCCCCAAAGCUGGAUGUUCUCAUGCAGGCCAUUAAGACAUCCAGCGUCGUUUAAGGGACCCAGAAUCCUGUAAACUCUCAGAAGCACCCCUAGUGACCAUAUGGCAGACUCAGUACUGCAAUGUAAACAUUGGAACUUCACAAAGACCUUAUUGUUUUAGAUAGGGAUCAACCGAUUAUCAGUCUGGUCGAUAUUCUGUAUUUUCAGCAAUAUCAGUAUCGGCUAAUAAAGAUACCGAUAUUGCCCAUAAUGCAGACCAGUGCCGCCAUCAUGGUCCUGGGGGGCCCAGCACACUCUUACUUAGCCAGCAGCUCCCCUGUCUAAACCUCAGGGCUGUCAGAGCGUUGCCACGGGUUACUAGGCCGAGAGAGUUAGACAGGGGAGCUCCUGGGAAGGUAAGUAUCAGCGUGCUGGGCCCUCACUGCACAGUCCAUGCCACCGGACCACCAGGGAAUGCCAUAUCCCACUCCCUGGCCAUGUAAAGAGCAGGGAAGGGGGAUUAAAAAAAAUAUAUUUAUAAAAUGCUCCCCCCCCCCCCACUUAACAUACCUACACAAAACACACACAUUCUGCAUUCAUUAUAUACACACACACACACACACACACACUACAAACACACUGCAUUCACUAAUCAAAUACUCUCGCUGAAUCCAUUACACACACAUUCUUGAAAACAUAAAAUAUUCUGACUGGCAUAUAUAUUUUGUGCAUUUACCUUAAUUAAACAAAAAGAUUUGCAAACAAAUAAUAAACCUGUUUAGUUAACAGAUUUGUGUAGAGAUUGUUUAUUUUUAAAAUGGUAAAUGAACAGAAUAUCGGUAAGUUAAUCGGCUAUCAGCCUGAAAGUUCACAGAAAUCGGUAUCAGCUCUAAACAAUCAAUAUCGGUUGAUCCCUAGUUGUACAUUGCAGGACUACGGGCAACAGGGACAGUGCACCCAGACCACUUCAAUGAGCUGAAGUAUUCUGGGCGUGCGUGGUUAUUUCGCCGCCGGAAAUCCAUGUGUGGAACGCAACCGGAAGUUGUGAUUUGGAACGCAGAACAUUACCGGACGGAUUACCAGCUGAUCUUAGCCGCGAAUUUUAAGGUGGCGAUCACCUGGAAAAUAUUGUUUCUAUUGAAGAGGGACUGCCUACAAAGGAACUCUCCAAUCAACAAUCGGACUGGUUAUAUUUAAGGGACUCUGUUGGGGGUGGGAUUAUGCAUGCUUUGUAUUUGACAUAUUGUGUAUACUGCAAAAAAUUCUCUCUGAUGAAGUCCAAUUUGUAUGGAAGAAACGCGUUAGAUGCAGUAUUAUUUGUAUACUUUUAACUAUUGAUUUUUUGAUAUAGGCCUAUUAGUGCCUUUUAAUAAUAAUAAAAAAAAAUUUUUAUACUUCACUGGCAUACUCCCACUUCUUUGAAGACAGAGCAACCUAUUCGUGGAGGGUGAAUACCACUGCAGCCCUUGAGGGCUUAAAGGCGCAUUAUCCAUCACUAUUUUGUGAGUGCAAUCAUUGAAGUUUAUAUUUUAUUAUUGUGACGGUACUUCACUAUGUACUAUGUAUUCUUAUGUUUUUUAGUCAUUCAGCUGUAUCCCUAUUUUGUCCAUUUACAUAUCUGCAUUUGAGGUUCGUUUGGGGGAAACCUCUUGGGAAGCUGCAUUCAUCUCAUACCAAGUUAAGUACUCGUGUAUAUUCCUACCACUGUGUUGGUUAGGUACAUUUGUAUUUCUUGCGUUUGUAUUUUUUUCUUUUUCUUUCUGCCUAUAAUGUCCCUUUAAUAAUCAGUCACAUGACCCAACUUACAAAUUUCCCAGUUUACCUAUCCUCCCUUUUAACCCUAUGAGCAUCACAACCUUUACUUUUCCUCCUCUUUACAAGAUCCAACUUAAUGUCUAUGGAGAUACAAGUCACAGGUGUACACAAGCUGAAGUUUGUAUCUUUCUUUUAAAG
Molecule: long non-coding RNA, 4213 nt
Filed under: Pelobates cultripes (western spadefoot toad)
Lineage: Eukaryota; Metazoa; Chordata; Amphibia; Anura; Pelobatidae
Source: RNAcentral